This 1005-nucleotide long non-coding RNA is filed under the name Homo sapiens (human). RNAcentral describes it as "HSALNT0097363". Lineage: Eukaryota; Metazoa; Chordata; Mammalia; Primates; Hominidae. The record is from RNAcentral.
CUUAAUAACUGUAUGAACAUGGGAAAUUACUUAAUCUCUCUGCGUCUCAGUUUCUUCAACUAUAAAAUAACAAUGCUGCUGCUGCUGCUGCUGCUGAUGAUGAUGAUGAUGGUGAAGAUGAUGACACCUAUUUCAUGGGGCUGUUGUGAAAAUUGAGAUGAUCCCUGUUAAGUAUUUAGCAGAGUGCCUGACAAACCCGGACUCCCUUGGAUCUGACACUGACCCCAGACGCCAAGCCACAGAGGAGUAUGCUGCAGUCAUUCUCUCUUUGAAAUUCUAAUUAAAAAUACAUUUUAAAAGUUUUUUAAAUGCAUGUUUUUCUUGAAUUCUGAUAUGAGCCAUGCAAUAUAAAAUGGCACUGUAACAUCUCUUCAAAUAUGCGCACUUCUAUUCACAAUAGUAUUUUAAAAAGUAAUCUUACAAAAGUUUUAUUUAAAAAUACCUUGCCAGGUGUGGUAGUGCAUGUCUGUAGUCCCAGCUGUUCAGGAGGCUACCCCUCUUGGGUUUGUUUUCUCUAAAAUAAACCUGUCCUUAAUUGUCAAGACACCGUUCAUGUUUCUUUCCUCUUUCUUUAAUUCUUACAGGGGUGGGAAGAUUGCUUGAGCCCAAGUGUUUGAGACCAACCUGGGCAACAUAGUGACACCUUGCCUUUACAAAAAAAAAAAAAAAAAAAAUUCUAGAUUUAAGCAUUUUGGUAAUGCUUCCAUUUCACUGCUUCUUUCUUAACUGUUUUGGUGUGAUUGCGAUCCAUUUUGUAGUUCACUAAUUUGGUAUUUAACUGAACUGAUCUGUCAGAUCUAUCAAAACAUGGGCUGUUGAUACAAUUUGAGCUAUUUCUUCAUCGUACCUGUGUUUACUUUGAGAGUUUAUCAGCGAAUGUUUAUCAGGAAUUUGGAAGCCUAGCAGCAAGGUGAAUUCUAGAAGAAAAAAAAAUCAACAACAUAUGCUCUACAUUUUUUUCAAUACUAAAUUGAUCAUCUCAAACAUUAUUUUCACUACAAAAAC